This 330-nucleotide ribosomal RNA is filed under the name uncultured bacterium. RNAcentral describes it as "bacterial SSU rRNA". It matches the Rfam family "Bacterial small subunit ribosomal RNA", at positions 18 to 344 of the family's 1533-position model. The record is from RNAcentral.
CCUGGCUCAGAUUGAACGCUGGCGGCAGGCUUAACACAUGCAAGUCGAACGGUAGCAGGUAAGUACUUGUACUUAUGCUGACGAGUGGCGGACGGGUGAGUAAUGCUUGGGGAUCUGGCUUAUGGAGGGGGAUAACGACGGGAAACUGUCGCUAAUACCGCGUAGAAUCGAGAGAUGAAAGUGUGGGACCUUCGGGCCACAUGCCAUAGGAUGAACCCAAGUGGGAUUAGGUAGUUGGUAGGGUAAUGGCCUACCAAGCCGACGAUCCCUAGCUGGUCAUCCUCUCAGACCAGCCACACCGGGACUGAGACACGGCCCGGACUCCUACGG